Long non-coding RNA from Bactrocera dorsalis (oriental fruit fly), 3979 nucleotides. RefSeq lists it as uncharacterized. The transcript has 4 exons. Lineage: Eukaryota; Metazoa; Arthropoda; Insecta; Diptera; Tephritidae. The record is from RefSeq and is a predicted model, not a curated record.
AAUAAAUAAGUAUAUGUAUUUACGUCAUAUGAUGACAUAGCAUUGUAACGUGGCUUUCACCACCUUACAAUGAUUUACUUCAACACUGUGCAUCAUUUACCCUCACCAGACCUCAACGCAGAGCUCUCCACCAUGCCAGAAUUAUCCUGCACGUAUUAAACUUCACCUCACCGCACUGACCAAAGCUACGUACACAACUCACCCCACUACACUGACGAAAGCUGCGCUAUGCUGCUAUAUAAGCAAGCACUUCACACCGAAUGCGAUCAUUUCUUCCAGCUCUCCAGCGAGGACGGUCGCAACCAGCAGCAAUAGGCAGGGGGGAGCUACCGUACAAAUCGCCGCCGUGCAAAUCACCGUUGUACCACUCACCGUUCGUUUUAAUCACCGUGCCAGCCUCAACAAGCGUCAACGCCUGGCUCAUCAAUACCGUUCGUUUUCAUCUCCGUGCCAGCCUCAACAAGCUUCAACGCCUGGCUCAUCAAUCCCGUUCGUUUUCAUCACCGUGCCAGCUUCAACAAGCGUCAACGCCUGGCUCGCCAAUCUCGUUCGUUUUCAUCACCACUGUAUACAUCACGCUGGUCUGGCUGUCCGCAUAAGGGGUGGGGUGUGGAUACAACUUUACGAGGAUAAAACUCGUCUCUUAUUUGCUAAGGGUUCGUGGGUCCCAAGGCUGACCCUGGAGCGGCUGAUCAAAACCUCAACUAUGGACGAAACCCCGUUACAGCAUCUAUGCGCAAUCAGGGAAUAUUAAGAAAAAUAAGUUCUUUGAUAUUCCAUUUUUAACAGCGAAAAAUGUGUACAAAUACAGCUCUCACACAUACUCAAGAAUAUGAAGAGACAUAAAUAUACAUAUGUAUGCAUAUGCUGACCACCUGUACGUAAAUGACACGUACAGUACGUAAAUUUGGAGCCAUGUACCGUGUACCGAAGCUUUAGCGAAAAUCACGAAAAUGUACGUAAAUUGAAACGGAGAAUAUUGAUGUACGUAAUUUGCGUUAAAACAACAAAAAAUUGCUAUACAAUUGUGUCCCACCCGUGACGAUGGAAUGAAUACCCCUAAUGCAAAUUAAAUAUAUUCACCCAGCUUUAACUAUGUUAAAUUCGCCAUUAUGGCAACGCCGUUUAUGGAAUGCUUUUAUUGUAUUUAUUCGUGUUAAAGAGAAAUUACAUAUGUUAAAGCUCUUCUUAUUUACAUUUAUUCAUGUAUUUUCUACCAACAAUUUGUGGAACUUAUGCUGACAGGUGAUAUUGGGGAAGCGACGCUAUUGUGUGUGUACGCUGUAUUAUUUUUGUCGCGAAAACGUGGAGUAAAUAUAUUUAACGAAAAAUUGCGCGAAGAAUUUUCGUUUAUUAAAAAAGCGAAGACCGAAAGUGACGUCCUUGCGAAGUGUGCAACACGGGUAUUAUGCAUAGUGGUCGCCGAGAUAUUGAGUCGCAUAUUAAAUCAAAAAAAUCACUAAAAUGCAUUGCACGCUGCCACGCCCAGCCACACACUUAAGAGAUAUUUAAAAAGUUCUACUUUGACCGGAACAGAUGCUUAUAUCGCGGCGUGUGAAGGCGUUUGGGUAUUUCAUGUAAUAAGUUCUAAUCACAGUUUUCGCUCGGCCGAUUACGCUUCCAAAAUCAUUCGGAGUUGUUUCGCAAUGUCCAAUUUUCUUGUGCGCGAGCGAAAUGCGAAGCCAUCGCAACCGGAGUGUUCGCACCGUUCGUAUUGCAAGAGCUCCAGAAAGACUUAAAUGACUGCCAUUUCUUCACUAUAUUGACGGACGCGUCUAAUCAUGGCAGCACAAAAAUGUUUCCGAUAUUAGUUCGCUUCUUUUCGGAAAAGGAUGGCGUCAAAGUGAAAAUUAUAGACUUGGUAGAUGCACAUGGAGAAAGUUCCGAAAUAAUUGUAAAUUUGCUGAAUAGCGCUAUGAACAAAUAGAACAUAAAUAAGAAACUAGUUGCGUUUUGUGGAGAUAACGCGGGGUGUAAUUUUGGCAACGUUAAUCGAACCGGCACAAAUAAUGUGUUCUACCAACUGAAGCAGCUUUAUCCUGGAUUGAUUAGCGUUGGAUGUGCAGCGCAUAUUGUUCACAAUACUUUAAAAAAAAGCUUGCGACAAAAUGCCUUUUGAUGUGGAGAUGAUUGUAGUCAAAAUUUAUUCACAUUUCUAUUUGUUCACCGUGCGUGUCGCAAAAUUGAAAAAAUUUUGUGAAUCCGUGGAUGUGGAAUAUAAAAAAACUGAUAGGUUACAGCAAAACUCGUUUCCUAGGCUUGUUGUUAUCAGUCGACUCAAUAUUAAGAAUUUUUGAUGGUCUUAAGGAGUAUUUUUUGGCAGAUCCAAACACCCCAAAAUCUUUGCUACUAUUUUUUGAAGAUCCAAGGGCCAAGAUGUGGCUGAUUAUCCUUCGUGAUCAAGCAUCUAUUUUCAACAGAACAGUUAAAUCAGUGGAAAGCGACAAUAUAAAUGCAAUGGAAGUUGGGCAUGCACUCAAUUCUUUUGUCCAAUCGCUCGAAUCUCGGAAAAAAGAAGCAUUUUUGUCCGCUACAGUGCAAAAGGAAAUGGAACAUAUUUCUGCUGUUGACGAAAGAGUGUCAAAAGAAGAGAUGCAAGAUCUCUCACGUCAAUUCUAUGAAUCAUGUAUAAAAUAUAUUGAAAAGUGGAAAGAACAAUUUGACCAUAUUAUGAUUUUUGCCUGGUGUGCGCUUGAUCAACCACCGCAAUGGAAGUUUAUCGAAACCACCGCGAAAUACAUCGCAACCAAUAACCAUUUUGAUCUGGAAUCAUCCGAUACUGAUUUAUUCGAUCAGUUCACGUAUUUGGAAAGAUACGUAACCGAAGAGAAAAUCUAAUCGUGGGAAGAAAAUGGUACUGCCACCGAUCAACGCUGGGUUGAAAUUUUUCAACAUUUCGUCAAAAAGAAGGUUCCAUACAACCAAAUGGUCAGAAUCAUAUCGUAUAUUCUCUCCUUGCCAGGCACAUCAGCCACCGUUGAACGAGUAUUUUCUCUGAUCAAUCAGAUUUGGAACGAUGAAAAAUCACAAAUAAAGAUCGAAACAUUGCGAGAUCUUUAUAUGUUCGAUCCAACAUUAAAAUGACUUGUAAGGAAUUUUUUGAGUUUUUAAAAAUGCAACCUAAAAUGUUGAAGGAAAUUGCAUCAAAUGAAAAAUCCGCAUUCAAAAAUGCCAAUCAGAUCGACGAAAACAAAAAUAAGUAGGCUGAAAUUUGUAUGCAAAAAACGAGUUUGGAUAUCAAAAAAUAAACUGCUUUCUCCACAACUUGACCAUAAAUUGAAAUCAAAUUAAAUUGCAUUUGCAAGCACCGUUUUUUUCAUUAAUUAAAAACUGUACAAAAUAUAAAGUUAUAGUAAUCUAACUACAGUGAAACUUCGAUAAGUCGUAACCUCGAUAAGCGAAAAACCUUAAUAUUUCAUAGUAUUUCUUCGGUCCCUAGAAAAAUUCGCGAAAAAUGCAUGUAUUUCGGUCCCUUUGAUAACUCGUAUUUUUCCUGAGACAAAAAUUGAAACUCGUAUUUUUUUCACAAAAAACCGUACGUGACGAAAACAUAGUACGUUUUUUAACCGUUAUUAUUUUACAGUUACACUUAUUCAUAAGUUUUGCUUUGUUUUCUACAACUAGCGUAGAAUUGAAAAUUUGCGUCUUUUUUUCAUGGCAUCAAAUGUUGAAGACACAAUUUUUAAUGACAUUGAAAACAUUGAUAAUGCUAUAGAUAAAAUACGCCAAAAUAAUGUCCGUCCAAAACGUAUUACGGAUUUCAUUUAAAAUGAUUUCUUUUUUUAAAUUUUUGUACAAUUUUUCAAAAUACAUACAUACAUAUAUUGAUUGAAUAACAUAUGAACUUUAUAUUUUAAAAUUUAAAUAUGUACAAUCAUUUCUUGUUUUUUAUGUAAAAUUGAAAAAUAAAUAAAAAAAACUCUAUAAUUCGUAUAUUCUGUAUGUUGCUGUAAGUUGUGUAACUUGAUAACUUGAAAAA